GUGUACACAAGAUAGAGCUCACAUCAAGUUUAUAUAAACUUUACUAUUAAAUCCACCUUCAAAAGCUAUUUUCAUUAACUUUAUCCGUUUUAGUCUAUUAAAUGUAACCCACCUCUGUCUUUUACAUGAGCUGCACCUUUACUUGAAGUCAAUGAUUUUAUCAUGAAUGAAAGUUUUCUAAAGAAACUGACUGACAACAGCGGUAUACAAACUGAUAUACAAAUAAAAGUAGAGUUUAAUCGUGGGUCAUCGUUUAUAGGGCAGGUUCCUCUAAAUGGUUAUCUUGCCGCCAAAUCCGUUAAAUUUCAUUAAUAUUACUAUUCCAAAAUAUUUUAAAUAUAAGUA
This 345-nucleotide ribosomal RNA is filed under the name Cantellius sp. 5 MM-2014. RNAcentral's name for it is "partial 12S ribosomal RNA". The record is from RNAcentral. Lineage: Eukaryota; Metazoa; Arthropoda; Thecostraca; Balanomorpha; Pyrgomatidae.